Long non-coding RNA from Zonotrichia albicollis (white-throated sparrow), 1590 nucleotides. The record is from Ensembl. Lineage: Eukaryota; Metazoa; Chordata; Aves; Passeriformes; Passerellidae.
GGCUGGCUAUGAAUGAAACCCUGAAUUCAUUCCCUGCUUUUUGUGUUCUCUUCCCCAGAUGCCAAUGGCUCCAAGUUGUCUUUGCUGCUGGACUCCAGAUCCCAUCUGACAUGACACUGGUGAUGGAGGGAUUGGUGACAGAGGGACACAAUGGUGCAGCAGCAUGGAUUGCCUUCCCAAGCUUUCCAAAGGUCUCAGAGAGUGGAUCUGCACGUGAGAAAACAGGGAAUACAAUGGGGAAUGGAAAAGAUGUGCUGCUGUUCUUUAAGGCAGAAUGUCAUCAGAUGUGCCAGCAUCUCCUCUGCAAGGCUGUCUGGCCUGAAUUCCUCUGGGAAUGCUUCCUUACAGGCAUCUUUGCCUUGGCCUCACAGCACUGUGAGGUCAUCCCAGCCCUUCCCAGCAGCCUGGAGCUCUGCCUGGCCUUGGAGCUUUCUGCCGGCAGCGAGAGACUAAACUUCGGAGGAGCCUGACCCCGGGAUUAUCCGAGGGAAGACAUGUGCUCGCUGUUCGGGAGUCACCAUCUGCGAGGGAGAUGCCGGGCAGCGGAGACGCGUGGCAGGGACACGGCUGCAUCUGCCCAGGAUGAACAGGGACCUCAAUUCCUGAGCAUCCUCCCAGCCCUGCCCCGUGCCUUUAUCACCGCGACGAGUUUCUGCUCGACGGGAGGGUUCCUGGGCUUUUCUAUUCCUUUCCCACCAAGCCUCCAGCCCAGCUCCGGGGGACUUUCCCCUCCUCCCUCAAUCAGCCCCGGCGGGUCCAUUUGCUUUUGUCUCCCAUUAAUUGCUUGCUACUUUUCAUUGCCUGCUCCUCCCCCUUUUAAAGAUAAAUUUUAAAGCCCGAGCGGGGUGGAGAAUGGCUGAGCCCGCUGUUAUUUUUGACAUUCGCCCCAGUGACAGCUGGACCUUGCAAGGCUGGGGCCGUUCGCACACAAAGCCUAUUAGCUAUGCCCACUCACUUAAUGAGCCCUGAAGUCUGGAAGGAAAAUUUCCUCCCCUAAGUGUGGCAGAGCCCUUUGUCAUUGUAAACAGGCGCUGCUUGCCGAGCCCUGCCUUGCCUUUCUCCUUCCUGCCACCGUGGCUUUUCUAUUUACUCAGGAAACAAAAGCGGAGCCGUGUCAGCGCGCAGGGAAGAAAAUGUACCCAGCGACUGGGGCUCGCAGGGACCCGCCUCUGCCACCCACCGACCGCAGCCAGGGCUCCUCGGUGUCACCGGCACCAAGGGGACACCUUGGAUGGGCUGCGGGAGAUGCUCCCGGCAUUGCAGAACCUCAGCUGCUCCUGCAGGGACCGGCUGUGCAGCCCAGAGCAGCCCGGGGAAAUCAUUCCUUCACCUGAGCACGGUGGGUUGGGGCUACAGAAAAUCCUGCAUAUGCUCAAAGUUGGUUUGGAGAGGUGUUUUCUGUAGUUGUUUUCUGGAUUCUGUCCCAGCCCUACAAAUAACUCACAAAGGAAUCUUCUUUCCUUCUGCCUCUUUUGAACUUGCAGCCUGCCCGGGCUUGCUACUUUUUAAGCCCAAACAUGUCCCGUUCCAUGCCCAUUUCCAAUGCAAGUCACUACCCAGCAGAAUAAAACCUUAAGUGCCAAUAAAGCA